This 268-nucleotide ribosomal RNA is filed under the name uncultured bacterium. RNAcentral describes it as "partial 16S ribosomal RNA". It matches the Rfam family "Bacterial small subunit ribosomal RNA", at positions 57 to 305 of the family's 1533-position model. The record is from RNAcentral.
GCAAGUCGCACGAGAACGCUUCAGCUUGCUGAAGUAAGUAAAGUGGCGCACGGGUGAGUAACGCGUGGGUAAUCUCCCCCCGAAUUGGGGAUAACCCGCCGAAAGGCGGGCUAAUACCGAAUGACAUCUUGAAUAUUUAUGUUUUUAAGAUCAAAGAUGGCCUCUACAUGUAAGCUAUUGUUUGGGGAUGAGCCCGCGUACCAUUAGCUAGUUGGUAGGGUAAUGGCCUACCAAGGCUACGAUGGGUAGCUGGUCUGAGAGGAUGAUC